This 29-nucleotide non-coding RNA is filed under the name Cricetulus griseus (Chinese hamster). Lineage: Eukaryota; Metazoa; Chordata; Mammalia; Rodentia; Cricetidae. The record is from RNAcentral.
AACAAGGAGGAGGCAGCAGAAUACGCUAA